RNAcentral lists this transfer RNA (105 nucleotides) under Rhizoctonia solani. RNAcentral describes it as "tRNA-Gly". It matches the Rfam family "tRNA". Rfam says of the family: Transfer RNA (tRNA) molecules are approximately 80 nucleotides in length. Their secondary structure includes four short double-helical elements and three loops (D, anti-codon, and T loops). The record is from RNAcentral. Lineage: Eukaryota; Fungi; Basidiomycota; Agaricomycetes; Cantharellales; Ceratobasidiaceae.
GCGUGGGUAGUAUAAUGGUUAUUAUCUCGGUUUCCCAUUACCAAUGGCAUAAUCAAUUGAUUGUGAUAAAUACCGAGGACCCGAGUUCGAUUCUCGGCCCUCGCA